Long non-coding RNA from Chionomys nivalis (European snow vole), 1801 nucleotides. RefSeq lists it as uncharacterized. The transcript is spliced from 3 exons. The record is from RefSeq and is a predicted model, not a curated record. Lineage: Eukaryota; Metazoa; Chordata; Mammalia; Rodentia; Cricetidae.
AGAACUGCAGCCAGGGUUUAGCUCGGGGGCGGAGCCGAGUCUUCCCUAGGCGCCUGCGCUUAGCCGGUUUCCCGGCGCCAUUUUGUCCCGGCAGCAGCGGCCGCAGCUCUAUCCCAUUUUCUGUGUCUGGAGGCGAGGAAGCGGACUCUGUCCGGUAGGUUUGUGUCUCUACGGCCCCGGCUUACCAUUCGCUCCAGAACAACGCCUAGCGAAGCGUGAUGGAGCUGCGAAGCCCUCCGAAAGAGUUAUGCUGAAGACAACAGACACCUCCGUGACAACCCAGAGUACCACAGAAUGACCCUGACUUUUGUGGGGAGAACGCAGGUGCUUCGGCUCUAGAAGACCUAGGAUUUGUUACUUGUGCUGAAAAGUUCUGGUUCUGGUUUGUAAUUUUACUUCAUCUUUAAGUGAAUGAGGUUGGCCAUGUUAUAUGUGUAUGCGUGUGUGUACUUGUGUAACUUUUUGGAAGACAGUUUAUUUGUAGAAACAUCGGUAUAUGUUGAGAAGUAGAUUUGAUUCAACUGGGUUGAAUAGAGCUGCUUCCCAAAAGAUUGAGUUUGGAAGGGAUUACAUAAUUUUAAUCAGACUUUUAUUUUGGGCACCAGGGAUGUCAGUAUUAAUUGUAAGAGUGCUUUACCUGGCAUACACAAGGCUCUAGGCUCAAAAGUCAGAAUGGGUGCUAUUGUUGGUAAUUUUAAAGCAUUCCUUCUAGAAUCUACAUGGAUGAUCUUUUGCCCUGUUGGACUUUGCUGUUGGUUUUAUGACCACAUGAAUGAGAGUUUUCACUCACAGGUAAUUCGAACUAGAAUGACAGCAUAUUGCAGGGUAGGGAUUAAAGCAGAUAUGGGUUAUUUAAUGACAUUUCUCCAAAGUUCUCCUGGAACUGUUCUGAGUGCUGGGAUGAAAGGCGUGCACCAUCAUACCCAGCUGGUUAUUUUUAAAGAUUUAAAUAAUGGCUCCUGGUGAAAGAAAGAUCAGUAGAGGUUCAGUAUACAGUCAGCUCUAGAGACACUGAAAAAACAUUCCUUUAAGCAAGCAGGACCUAGGGCUAGUUAAAUGGAAGAUUGUGAGCAAGAGUGAUUGAGAAAAGCUGUUUCAGAUGGUAGACCAGUUGGGAAAGGAUGCCUGGCAAAAGACAAGGUCAGGAAAGUUAGGAGGCCUGUGAUGUCAGAGUUGUAAGACUCAGCUGCACACGAGAAUCCUAUGGAGCAUUUGCCCUCUCCCAUUCAGUAAGUUUCCUUGGCUUUGCUGACAAGUAUAUGGGCACCCUACCGGUGACUGUACACUCCUGAAGAAAAUGUUUCUCCCUCUGUCAGGUGUUAACUCUUUAUAAAUACUCAGGGAGGAACUAGACCCCACACGACCCUCUCCCUUAACAGAAUGUUGACAGACCCAAUCCUGUUCAGAUACUGAAUUCAGAUAAUCGGAGCUAUCAUGAGUUCAAAGGUACAACAGCCAGGUCAGUGUUCCAUUCUCUCUUGGCUUCCUCUGGCACUUACAUUCCUUCUGCCUCUUCUGUGAAUGUGCUGUCAAAGCUGAGCACUCGACAGUCACUUAUUCUUAGCACGUGCUAGCUUGCCUUCCCGUAGAGCUUGGAGGAAGCACAGGGAGACCACCCUGUGGUCUCUGCCAAAAUACCUGUGUGUGACUUGUACAUUAGCCCUUGCUUCCUCUACAGUCUAGCUCUUUCAGAGUCUCCUGUGGUUUUAAAAUAGCCAAUGAAAUUAUAUGUUGCCACAUAUGGGAGGCAAAGAAACAAAUAUCAUGCAAAAGGCUGUAAACAGUUCAGUUCAAUCUGUGC